Molecule: ribosomal RNA, 453 nt
Filed under: Triticum aestivum (bread wheat)
Lineage: Eukaryota; Viridiplantae; Streptophyta; Magnoliopsida; Poales; Poaceae
Description: partial small subunit ribosomal RNA
Source: RNAcentral
AUGGGUGGUGAGAUGACACCAGGUCUAGAAGGGGUGGAGGGUAGGCUGAAGAAUCUGAAGCUCUCGGAGGCGGAGAAGAGGGGCAUCAAAAUCGGUAAGAAGCAGACCUGCUCCUCGAAGGUGAGCAUGUUUCAAGCAGUGGGUAAGCUCCUCUCAGAUAGGCCUGCAAAAGCAGAGUACGUGGGAAGAACAUUAGGAGGAGUUUGGAGCCCCUUUUCUGGUGUGGAUUGUAAAGACCUUGGCAGAAAUCGUUUCCUUUUCACAUUCCAUGAUGGAGCUAGUAAAGAUAGGGCUCUGAAUGAUAGACCAUGGAGGUUCAAUAAGGAUCUAUUGGUGAUGGAAGACUUUGUGCCAAGUAAAACCAUCGAUGAGUAUCAAUUCAAAAUGAUACCAAUCUGGGUGAGAGUCCAUGGCAUUCCCAUGGGCGUGAUGAGUAGAGAAACAGGGGAGUUG